UACAGAGGUCUCAAGCGUUGUUCGGAUUCAUUGGGCGUAAAGGGCUCGUAGGUGGCCAACUAAGUCAGACGUGAAAUCCCUCGGCUUAACCGGGGAACUGCGUCUGAUACUGGAUGGCUUGAGUUCGGGAGAGGGAUGCGGAAUUCCAGGUGUAGCGGUGAAAUGCGUAGAUAUCAGGAGGAACACCGGUGGCGAAGGCGGCGUCCUGGACCAAUACUGACACUGAGGAGCGAAAGCCAGGGGAGCAAACGGG
RNAcentral lists this ribosomal RNA (253 nucleotides) under uncultured bacterium. RNAcentral describes it as "partial 16S ribosomal RNA". It matches the Rfam family "Bacterial small subunit ribosomal RNA", at positions 524 to 776 of the family's 1533-position model. The record is from RNAcentral.